Molecule: small nucleolar RNA, 74 nt
Organism: Hypanus sabinus (Atlantic stingray)
Lineage: Eukaryota; Metazoa; Chordata; Chondrichthyes; Myliobatiformes; Dasyatidae
Source: RefSeq, a predicted model, not a curated record
UUUGUCGGUGAUGAAUUAUUGUUCGAGUUUCAUGACAAUGAGAAUAUCUCACAUGCACUACCAUCUGAGACACA